AAUAAUUAAGAACUGAGAGUAUAUACUAAAUAAAUUGCCCUUAAUUCUAAUAGUUCACAGCAAAAUGGCAAAAAGGUUAAAAAAGAAAAUUGUUGACUGAAACUUUUUUUACCCUGAAUUACGAAUCUAAUUACUAGCAUUCAGAUGGUUGGAAGGAAUGAUCCUAGUCCAUUCCUAUAUAAUGCAAAUAGUCAUAUAACGAUAAUAAAUAUAUAAAAUAAUUAUACAACAAUAUUACAAAUUUGAUAUUCAUUCACCGGUAGAUGGCAGCGCAUGAAAUGGGCGGCUUCAGAAGCUGCGCGGUAAGUGGGGAUGGGACGUGUUCACUCAAUCUUUCAAUAGAUCUCAGUGAAUGUCGGUGUUAUUCGUUUUUAAGAAUGUUUUCACGUGUUGGAUUAUUAGUUUAUUAAAUAGCUGUGUGUCCAACAAAAAGAACAUCUUUGCUUAGCCGAAUCAAGGAUAGCUGUUAUUGUCUCCAAGGGCAACAGAAAUUUUCCUGGCCCGAGCUUUCCGCAUUCGUCUAGUCUUCCGCCAUGUUUUACCACUUGAAAUAUUACCAGUUGGCGUAAAUUACAAAAAAUAAAUAAAAUUUAAAAGGUGCCGAGCAUCUGGAUCUUGCGAUCUAUUGAUAGCAGUUAUAUACAGAUCGAAAUAAGAAAUAAAGUGUUUUUGUACUGCCAUUGUACAUCGGACAUAACAUCAUACUGAUGUUCUGAAAAGUUACUAAACUUGUACAAGCAAGCAAAACAUGGCGAUGAUAACUAUUUUGCAUUUGAUUCAGAUGGUGACUAUGCAUUGGAUCUUUGAUUGCGGCUGCUUUAGUGCUAUUACAAAGAAAAUAGAUUAGCAUUAUCAGGGAACUUGCUUUCCUGAAGACAGCACAACUGUGACAAGGUCACGCAGAUGUUCCUUAUCUCGCCGUCCAAGGAAAUAGUUCUCAGACAAAGGGACUCUUGCAGGGGGCUUGGAAUGCGGUUUCGAGAUUGCAACUGUGUUUCUUACCCGAAGGGAUAUUCUCACUAUGAUUCAGCGUAUGACAAGCGACCGUAGAGUCGAGCUUUGGACAUCGUGAGGCAAGGUUGUUUCAAAAGAGCGUAGACGAAGUGUGUACAAGAGGUAUAUUUUACAAGUGCACAUCUGUGUAGCCACCGAGGGAGUGACUUCUAGGAUGGACCAACGGCCUUCCAGUAAUAUUUCUAUCAUGUCAACCUUUGGUUUAAGCAAGAUGGUUGAAAACAAUUUGCCACGCAAUUUCCUGUACAAAAUAAUUAAAGCUUCGUCGAUUUCUUCGGAAAAUUUUCAUUGCGAACUUAGAUCAAAUAUAAGCAGUUUGCGAAGAUUUCACUACCUGGUUGAAAGAAAUACAAACACGUGUUGGCUACUCCGCAAAACUUGGACGGAUCAAUCUCGGUUUCUGGUUUCAAUGAACUACAUUUGUCAGCAUGCUUCAUAUCGUAAAGUAAAGAUAUGCAAACAUCUGGUAGUGAAGAAAAGGUACCUAAGGAUGCAAUGGUCACUUUACAAGGUCCUUCUAGUUUAAAUGUAAAGAUAUCUGAAAGACGAAUUCGCUCCAAGAAACUCAGGAUGCGGAUGUACGCUGAUGAAGAAGAAAAAAUUAGAUCUAUUCGGGUGAAAAUAGGAGAAAGUGCUGUUUUUAGAGCAAAUACAAAGAAAUAUCCGUGAUGAUGAUACAGCAUAAAUGAUAUGCAGCAAACUAGCUGUGAAAAAAAAAGAAAAUCCCAUGCAGAUAGAAAACGUGAUCUUGAUGUAGAGAUCUCUGAAUCUGAAAGACGAAUUCGCUCCAACAAACUCACGAUGACAAUGUAUGCUGAUGAUGAAGAAGAAAAAAUUAGAGCUAUUCGUUCUGGUGCGUAUAGAUCAUCAUCUUGGAAUGUUCAAAAUAGAUUAGGAACAAAAUAUAACAAAGAUGGCUUGCGUCAUCAAAAUGGGAAGUUGGCCUGCAAAAAUGCUGGAGGCUCAGCCUCUGAUGAAUAUAAAGAUCUGGAAUCAAAAAACAAAAGACAAACUAAGAAGAAUCACAAUAACCAAUCACCACUGCCUCGAGGUGAUGAUAAACCUGUAGGCAGGAAGAGAUAUUCCCGUUUUAGUAGGUGGGAAGACUUAUGUGAUACUGAUGAUUUUUCUGAGGAUGAUGAAGAACAUUAAAUGAAGAUUAACAUCAAUUGUGGACUAUGGCCAUAUAAAUUAAAAUCUCGCUAUUUGUAAUUUUUGCUAUAUUAAGCUAUGCAUGUGAAUUUUAUAUUGUUAAUGGUUUUAUGUACCAGCUCUUAAAUUUAAUAAAUGUAAUUUGUACCUUUAC
This 2320-nucleotide unclassified non-coding RNA is filed under the name Stegodyphus dumicola. RNAcentral describes it as "uncharacterized LOC118187857, transcript variant X8". Lineage: Eukaryota; Metazoa; Arthropoda; Arachnida; Araneae; Eresidae. The record is from RNAcentral.